This 508-nucleotide ribosomal RNA is filed under the name uncultured bacterium. RNAcentral's name for it is "partial 16S ribosomal RNA". The stretch from base 21 to 328 matches the Rfam family "Bacterial small subunit ribosomal RNA", at positions 48 to 357 of the family's 1533-position model. The record is from RNAcentral.
GACGAACGCUGGCGGCGUGCUUAACACAUGCAAGUCGAACGGAAAGGCCCUGCUUUUGUGGGGUGCUCGAGUGGCGAACGGGUGAGUAACACGUGAGUAACCUGCCCUUGACUUUGGGAUAACUUCAGGAAACUGGGGCUAAUACCGGAUAGGAGCUCCUGCUGCAUGGUGGGGGUUGGAAAGUUUCGGCGGUUGGGGAUGGACUCGCGGCUUAUCAGCUUGUUGGUGGGGUAGUGGCUUACCAAGGCUUUGACGGGUAGCCGGCCUGAGAGGGUGACCGGCCUGAGGGACACUGAGAGGCGGCACAGACUGGGAGAGGGGGCAGAGGUGGGGAGUAAUGACGGCGGAGAGGAGGACGGAUGGCGCAGGGCGGGUGGGGGGAGGACGGCCGGCGGCAGGCAGCCCGAUCGCGAGUGGGAGGGGGGGGGAGUGAGGAUAGUGGAAAAAGAACCCGUGUCUAAGUACGUGGCAGCAGCCGAAGUAAAGAGUGGAACGACCCCCCUCUAAC